This 253-nucleotide ribosomal RNA is filed under the name uncultured bacterium. RNAcentral describes it as "partial 16S ribosomal RNA". It matches the Rfam family "Bacterial small subunit ribosomal RNA", at positions 524 to 776 of the family's 1533-position model. The record is from RNAcentral.
UACGGAAGGUCCGGGCGUUAUCCGGAUUUAUUGGGUUUAAAGGGAGCGCAGGCCGCCGUGCAAGCGUGCCGUGAAAAGCAGCGGCCCAACCGCUGCCCUGCGGCGCGAACUGCCUGGCUUGAGUGCGCCAGAGGCGGGCGGAAUUCGUGGUGUAGCGGUGAAAUGCUUAGAUAUCACGAAGAACCCCGAUUGCGAAGGCAGCCCGCUGGGGGGCAACUGACGCUGAGGCUCGAAGGUGUGGGUAUCGAACAGG